CUCACAUUAUCCCUGUGGUGUCAGCACAGUUACCGUCCCUGCUUUACACAUCGGGACGUUGAGGCUCAGACAGGUUAAAUGACUUGACUUCCCCAGAGUCAGUCUGGUCAUUUGGGUCUGACCUUGCUUCUUGAAGGACUGGCAAGAUGGGGGCCAGCAAAGGAUCUAAUGGAAAAAGGUUUCAUUAGUAUUUACCUAAUGUCAUCUUCCUGUUUGAGGACCCCAUCUGGGAUACCACAGCACAUUUGGUCAUGUCUCCUGAGGCUCCUCUUGGCUGAAUUCAGGAAAGAACUUGAGUUCUACUUUUGCAGUGAAGAACAGAGAACACCUGCAGAAGCUGAGAAUGAAAUGAGCCCACCAGGACUUAGCAACCGUCUUGCUGAGCUCACCUGAGAUAACAGAAUGAAAAUGGAAGGACAGCCAGAUUUCUCCUUUGCUCUCUGCUCAUUCUCUCUGAAG
RNAcentral lists this long non-coding RNA (459 nucleotides) under Homo sapiens (human). RNAcentral describes it as "HSALNT0345698". The record is from RNAcentral. Lineage: Eukaryota; Metazoa; Chordata; Mammalia; Primates; Hominidae.